RNAcentral lists this microRNA precursor (102 nucleotides) under Marmota monax (woodchuck). The record is from RNAcentral. Lineage: Eukaryota; Metazoa; Chordata; Mammalia; Rodentia; Sciuridae.
AGUGGAAUAACUGGGUCAAAUGGUGAUUCUAUUUUAAGAUUUCUGAGGAGUCUUCAUACUGCUUUCAGAGUGGUUGCACCAAUUUGCUGUCCCACCAGGAGU